CCUACGGGCGGCUGCAGUGGGGAAUAUUGCACAAUGGGCGCAAGCCUGAUGCAGCCAUGCCGCGUGUGUGAAGAAGGCCUUCGGGUUGUAAAGCACUUUCAGCGGGGAGGAAGGCGUUAAGGUUAAUAACCUUGUCGAUUGACGUUACCCGCAGAAGAAGCACCGGCUAACUCCGUGCCAGCAGCCGCGGUAAUACGGAGGGUGCAAGCGUUAAUCGGAAUUACUGGGCGUAAAGCGCACGCAGGCGGUCUGUCAAGUCGGAUGUGAAAUCCCCGGGCUCAACCUGGGAACUGCAUUCGAAACUGGCAGGCUAGAGUCUUGUAGAGGGGGGUAGAAUUCCAGGUGUAGCGGUGAAAUGCGUAGAGAUCUGUAGGAAUACCGGUGGCGAAGGCGGCCCCCUGGACAAAGACUGACGCUCAGGUGCGAAAGCGUGGGGAGCAAACAGGAUUAGAUACCCCGGUAGUC
This 465-nucleotide ribosomal RNA is filed under the name uncultured Klebsiella sp. Its description in RNAcentral is "bacterial SSU rRNA". It matches the Rfam family "Bacterial small subunit ribosomal RNA", at positions 338 to 795 of the family's 1533-position model. The record is from RNAcentral. Lineage: Bacteria; Pseudomonadati; Pseudomonadota; Gammaproteobacteria; Enterobacterales; Enterobacteriaceae.